Molecule: ribosomal RNA, 515 nt
Filed under: uncultured bacterium
Lineage: Bacteria
Description: partial 16S ribosomal RNA
Rfam family: Bacterial small subunit ribosomal RNA
Source: RNAcentral
GAUGAACGCUGGCGGCGUGCCUAAUACAUGCAAGUCGAGCGAAUGGAUUAAGAGCUUGCUCUUAUGAAGUUAGCGGCGGACGGGUGAGUAACACGUGGGUAACCUGCCCAUAAGACUGGGAUAACUCCGGGAAACCGGGGCUAAUACCGGAUAACAUUUUGAACCGCAUGGUUCGAAAUUGAAAGGCGGCUUCGGCUGUCACUUAUGGAUGGACCCGCGUCGCAUUAGCUAGUUGGUGAGGUAACGGCUCACCAAGGCAACGAUGCGUAGCCGACCUGUCAGGGUGAUCGGCCACACUGGGACUGCGACACGGCCCAGACUCCUACGGGAGGCAGCAGUAGGGAAUCUUCCGCAAUGGACGAAAGUCUGACGGAGCAACGCCGCGUGAGUGAUGAAGGCUUUCGGGUCGUAAAACUCUGUUGUUAGGGAAGAACAAGUGCUAGUUGAAUAAGCUGGCACCUUGACGGUACCUAACCAGAAAGCCACGGCUAACUACGUGCCAGCCGCCGCGGUAA